UACGUAGGGGGCAAGCGUUGUCCGGAUUUAUUGGGCGUAAAGAGCGUGUAGGCGGCUAGAUAGGUCCGUUGUGAAAACUCGAGGCUCAACCUCGAGACGCCGAUGGAAACCAUCCAGCUAGAGUCCGGAAGAGGAGAGUGGAAUUCCCGGUGUAGCGGUGAAAUGCGUAGAUAUCUGGAGGAACACCGGUGGCGAAGGCGGCAUCCUGGACCGGUAUUGACGCUGAGGCGCGAAAGCCAGGGGAGCAAACGGG
Molecule: ribosomal RNA, 253 nt
Filed under: uncultured bacterium
Lineage: Bacteria
Description: partial 16S ribosomal RNA
Rfam family: Bacterial small subunit ribosomal RNA
Source: RNAcentral